AUUGAACGCUGGCGGCAUGCCUUACACAUGCAAGUCGAACGGCAGCACGGGUGCUUGCACCUGGUGGCGAGUGGCGAACGGGUGAGUAAUACAUCGGAACAUGUCCUGUAGUGGGGGAUAGCCCGGCGCAAGCCGGAUUAAUACCGCAUACGAUCUACGGAUGAAAGCGGGGGUCCUUCGGGCCUCGCGCUAUAGGGUUGGCCGAUGGCUGAUUAGCUAGUUGGUGGGGUAAAGGCCUACCAAGGCGACGAUCAGUAGCUGGUCUGAGAGGACGACCAGCCACACUGGGACUGAGACACGGCCCAGACUCCUACGGGAGGCAGCAGUGGGGAAUGUUGGACAAUGGGCGAAAGCCUGAUCCAGCAAUGCCGCGUGUGUGAAGAAGGCCUUCGGGUUGUAAAGCACUUUUGUCCGGAAAGAAAUCCUUGGCUCUAAUACAGUCGGGGGAUGACGGUACCGGAAGAAUAAGCACCGGCUAACUACGUG
RNAcentral lists this ribosomal RNA (486 nucleotides) under uncultured bacterium. Its description in RNAcentral is "partial 16S ribosomal RNA". It matches the Rfam family "Bacterial small subunit ribosomal RNA", at positions 30 to 507 of the family's 1533-position model. The record is from RNAcentral.